UGCCCUAGUAACGGCGAGUGAAGCGGCAACAGCUCAAAUUUGAAAUCUGGCUUCGGCCCGAGUUGUAAUUUGCAGAGGAUGUUUCUGGCGCGGUGCCUUCCGAGUUCCCUGGAACGGGACGCCACAGAGGGUGAGAGCCCCGUAUGGUUGGAUACCAAGCCUGUGUGAAACUCCUUCGACGAGUCGAGUAGUUUGGGAAUGCUGCUCAAAAUGGGAGGUAAAUCUCUUCUAAAGCUAAAUACCGGCCAGAGACCGAUAGCGCACAAGUAGAGUGAUCGAAAGAUGAAAAGCACCUUGAAAAGGGGGUUAAACAGUACGUGAAAUUGUUGAAAGGGAAGCGCUCAUGACCAGACUUGUGCUGGGCAGCUCAUCCGGGGUUCUCCCCGGUGCACUCUGCCCAGUUCAGGCCAGCAUCGAUUUUUGCCGGGGGAUAAGAACGGUAGGAACGUGGCCCUCCUUCGGGUGGGUGUUAUAGCCUACCGUACGAUACCCUGGCGGAGAUCGAGGUUCGCGCAUCUGCAAGGAUGCUGGCGUAAUGGUCAUCAGCGACCCGUCUUGAAACACGGACCAAGGAGUCGUCCAUUAGAGCGAGCGUUUGGGUGUCAAACCCGCACGCGUAAUGAAAGUGAAAUUAGGUGAGAGCUUCGGCGCAUCAUCGACCGAUCCUGAUGUUCUCGGAUGGAUUUGAGUAAGAGUUUUAACGGACGGACCCGAAAGACAGUGAACUAUGCUUGUAUAGGGUGAAGCCAGAGGAAACUCUGGUGGAGGCUCGCAGCGGUUCUGACGUGCAAAUCGAUUCGUCAAAUAUGAGCAU
This 814-nucleotide ribosomal RNA is filed under the name Coniella pseudogranati. Its description in RNAcentral is "LSU rRNA". It matches the Rfam family "Eukaryotic large subunit ribosomal RNA", at positions 76 to 918 of the family's 3401-position model. Lineage: Eukaryota; Fungi; Ascomycota; Sordariomycetes; Diaporthales; Schizoparmaceae. The record is from RNAcentral.